RNAcentral lists this unclassified non-coding RNA (246 nucleotides) under uncultured Basidiomycota. Its description in RNAcentral is "sequence contains ITS1". The record is from RNAcentral. Lineage: Eukaryota; Fungi; Basidiomycota.
AGGUACCUGCCCUCGGUGGGUGAGGGCGGCCCCGCUCCGGGUUCGCUCCGGUGCGAAACGCAGCGCCGCUCUGGGUUCGCUCCGGUGUGAAAUGCGGCCGCGAGCGGGGUCCCCUCCCCCGCCGAACAACUACAAACCCACCGUGCACCUUUCGCGGCAGAGGGCGCGGCGCGAGCCCGCCCGAAACCGCGGUCUCACAGACUCGUCUCAGAAUGUCUCGCGGACUCGUUCCGCCCAUAAACGUAA